RNAcentral lists this ribosomal RNA (686 nucleotides) under uncultured bacterium. Its description in RNAcentral is "bacterial SSU rRNA". The stretch from base 76 to 686 matches the Rfam family "Bacterial small subunit ribosomal RNA", at positions 875 to 1493 of the family's 1533-position model. The record is from RNAcentral.
AAUGCCCCCCGUCUGUGUGGGGCCGGUUAAGAAAUUGUCGGGCGGUCCAAGCGGAAAGCGUUAAGCAUCCCACUGGGGAGGUACGCCGGCAACGGUGAAACUCAAAGGAAUGACGGGGGCCCGCACAAGCGGAGGAACAUGUGGUUUAAUUCGAUGAUACGCGAGGAACCUUUACCCGGGCUUGAACUGCAGCAGAACGAUGGAGAGAUCCUGAGGCCCUUUCGGGGCCGCUGUGGAGGUGCUGCAUGGUUGUCGUCAGCUCGUGCCGUGAGGUGUCGGCUUAAGUGCCAUAACGAGCGCAACCCUUUUCAUUAGUUGCCAUCAGGUGAUGCUGGGCACUCUGGUGAUACUGCCACCGUAAGGUGUGAGGAAGGUGGGGAUGACGUCAAAUCAGCACGGCCCUUACGUCCGGGGCUACACACGUGUUACAAUGGGAGGAAAAAGAGAGUCAAAAUAUACGCAAGUAUGUUCUAAUCCUUAAAGCCUUCCUCAGUUCGGAUUGGGGUCUGCAACCCGAACCCAUGAAGCUGGAUUCGCUAGUAAUCGCGCAUCAGCCAUGGCGCGGUGAAUACGUUCCCGGGCCUUGUACACACCGCCCGUCAAGCCAUGAAAGCCGGGGGCGCUUGAAGUCCGUGACCGCAAGGAUCGGCCUAGAGCGAAACUGGUAAUGGGGCUAAGUCGUAACA